UCAGAAUUUGACGCGAGAAGUAGCAACAAAGAGAGUGCCUCGUUAACCAUGUCCAAAUUUUUAUCUUCGAGUAAAUGCAGCAAAGGUGCAACGAUCCCUGCCUCAAUAGCCCUUGCCUUAUUUGCUUGGCAUAAGGACAGGAUUUCGACUAUGGCUGGAAUGGGUUGUUCUCUUGAUAUGAGUUUCUUGUUUGAUUCAUCAAUCGACAAAUUCAGUAGAGCUGUUACAGCAUGUUCUUGGAUUUUCGAAUCUGGAUAAGACAGGAGUUGAACCAGUGGUGGGAUUCCUCCGCUGUUAGCUACUAGAAUUCGGUUUUCUGGAUUCUCCCUAGAAAGCAUACGGAUCUUUCUAACUGCCUUUCUCUGCACUUCUAGCUGAUUAGAGGAUAGGUUUUGGACCACUGAGUAUAUCUCGUUAUUUUGUUCGACAUUGGAGUUGUCGGAGCUUGUGGGAGCUUCUUUCUUGGGAAGUGGGAAAUUGUUCUUCUCGCACCACUGCAAGAUUAAAUUUCGGAGGGCAAAGUUCGGAGCUAGCGACAAGUGAGCCAAAACUUGACCAGUUUUUGGGCAGGUUCGAUGAUCAGAAUCUAACCACUUCUGUAUGCUCUCUCUUUCGUACGUCUUCAAUGGAUCACAAUUCAAACAAGAAGUUAGUAUAUAUGCUCCUCAUGAUAUUUGGGGAAGUAUAGGAAACCACAAUCCUACUUGGUGAAGGUCAUGACAAAAAGUAAGCAUGUUUUUAUUCCCUUUCUUUGAGUAGAACCACAGAAAACAAAAUAGCUCGACUGUGGUAUAUGGAUUCUUUGAAAUGUAUAUGGUACCAGUAUUGGGGACUUGAGUUAGGGUGUGUGAUACGUGUCCCACAGUUUUAGUAGGGCACUCAACUAAAAGCAUAUUCAGUAUUCCAGUUUAAA
Molecule: long non-coding RNA, 913 nt
Organism: Rhododendron vialii
Lineage: Eukaryota; Viridiplantae; Streptophyta; Magnoliopsida; Ericales; Ericaceae
Exons: 2
Source: RefSeq, a predicted model, not a curated record